CAAUAAAUUCGGGUUUUUCAAUAUCGGUUUUUUCUCGGGUUUUUCGAAUUUUUUUUCCGGUAAAAUCUUCGUAGAACAAAAUAUAUAACGUAUGCUCAAAAUAUUUCUUUAAUUCUAGUAUGAUACAACUAUAUAAAGUAUUUUUUAAGAAAAUAGUAUAAAAUAUGAGACAUGUCAUGACUCAUGACAUUAUCCUAUAAUAUUCAGCAAUAAAAAAAUAAUAAAAUUAUGUACUAUAAAUAUUACUAAAUAAAAAGUCAUAAUAAAAAUAAACAUAAUGUAAAAGCACUAAUUCAUGCUAAACUAGAUAGACUAAUAAGGGAGUAUUAAUUAUAUGCAAAAAGCCAAAGAAAAAUAAAAAUAGGUUAUUUAUUUUUAUCUAAGUUAUUGCAAAAUACAACAUAGACAUUUAAUACAUUCACGUUCGUAAUAUUGAAUUGAAUGUCUUUUGUUAACAUUAGUAUUUCUGUUAAUUGUUCUUCUUCCACUUCUGUAUGCUCUAAUAAAGAUUCUUGUACUCUUGAUUGCUUCUGAUCUAAAUCUUGUUGCUUUACCUUCCAAUGUAAACAGUUCCAUUUGUCAUAAUAAAAUUGAUGCUAAUGACAUGAACUACAUUUGGCAUUUAAGACUGGCUCACAUUCCUUUUGCACACAUGAAACACAUUUUUGCUUUAUCUUUUCCUUUUGCUUCUAAACAGGCUUUUCCCUGUUCUGUUUGUUCCAUGGCUAGGCAAACUAGACUCGCUUUUCCUGACAGUUCCAUCAGUACCUGUAGACCUUUCCAACUUAUUCAUGUAGAUACUUGGGGCCCUUAUCACACCCCUACCUCUUCUGGUUGUAAAUAUUUCCUUACUAUAGUUGAUGAUUUCUCAAGAGCCACCUGGACACAUUUACUGGGCUCUAAAAGUAAUGCUUUCAGCCUCAUCAAGUCCUUUAUAUGUAUCGUCAAAACACAAUUUAAUGCCACUAUACAAACUGUCAGAAGUGAUAAAGCUUUUGAAUUAGGGUCUAGUCUUGCUGGUGUUUCCUUAUUUAAUCAACAAGGAAUCAUUCAUCAAACUACUUGUCCCCAUACUCCCCAGCAAAAUGGUGUUGUGGAAAGAAAACAUAGAAUCCUUCUUGAAACAUGUAGAGCUUUACUUAUUCAAUCACUUUUACCUAUUCAUUUUUGGGGGGACUGCCUAUUAACUUCCACCUACUUGCUUAAUAGGAUUCCCUCCAGACUUCUUCACAAUAAGUCUUCUUAUGAAGUAUUGCAUGGCCAAGCCCCUACUUAUUCUCAUUUAAGGGCUUUUGGGUGUCUUGCCUAUGCCACUGUACCCAUUCCACAAAGAGAUAAACUUCAACCUAGAGCUUUGUCUUGUGUUUUUCUAGGAUAUCCCUUUGCCAAAAAGGGCUACAGGCUGUAUGACCUAACUACUAAGAAGUAUUUUGUGUCCAGAGAUGUUGUCUUUCAUGAAACCUGUUUUCCUGCUACAGGCUGUAUGACCUAACUACUAAGAAGUAUUUUGUGUCCAGAGAUGUUGUCUUUAAUGAAAUCUGUUUUCCUUUUCAAUCUGCUUCUUCUGCUCCUCCUCCUGCUUUUGUUUUUCCUCCUCCUCCUGUUCCUUCCUCUGAUAUUCCAUAUUCUGAUUUUGUCCUGCCUACUUUCCGUUGUCCUUCUCCUCCUGUUUCUUCCCCUUCUGCUUCCAGCCCAGCUUAUCCUUCACUUCCUUCCUCGGUUUCCUCUCCUUCUGUUCCUCCUCCUGCUGUUCCUCCUCCUUCUUUCCCUACUUCUUCUUCUGUUGUUCCUACUGGACACAGAAGAUCUGGCAGACCACAUAAUCCUCCAUCUUAUCUCAAUGAUUAUGUUUGUCACUUGCCUUCCUUUUCUGGUUCCACCUCCUCCUCUUCUCCUUUGGAGUCUGAACCCCUCUUUUAUUCUCAAGCUGCCUCUGUCCCAGCUUGGCAGGAUGCCAUGAGCAAGGAGUUUGAGGCUUUGGAUGCCAUAAGCUGCCUCUAUCCCAGCUUAGCAGGAUGGCAUGAGCAAGGAGUUAGAGGCUUUGGAUGCCAACCAUACUUGGGACAUUGUUCCACUUCCUUCUGGCAAAAAGCCCAUAGGAUGCAAGUGGGUCUAUAAGAUUAAAUAUAAAGCUGAUGGAACUAUUGAAAGAUACAAAGUUAGGCUUGUAAUUAGGGGUGAUACUCAAAUUGAAGGUAUUGAUUUCACUGAAACAUUCUCUCAUGUGGUCAAGCUGUCUAUUGUUAAGUGUCUGAUUGCUGUGGCUGUUAAGAAACAUUGGGGUCUUUUCCAACUUGAUGUCAAUAAUACUUUCUUGCAUGGUGAUCUUGAUGAGGAGGUCUAUAUGAAGCUUCCCCCAGGUUUAUGUGUUUCUGUCCCUUCUUGUUCUUCUUCCUCUGCCCCUCUUGUAUGCAAAUUACAGAAGUCCCUUUAUG
Molecule: long non-coding RNA, 2435 nt
Filed under: Nicotiana benthamiana
Lineage: Eukaryota; Viridiplantae; Streptophyta; Magnoliopsida; Solanales; Solanaceae
Description: long non-coding RNA (NBEN_LNC007528)
Source: RNAcentral